GCCUUACACAUGCAAGUCGGAACGGCGAGCGACGGGAGCAAUCCUGGUGGCGAGUGGACGAACGGGUGAGUAAUAUAUACGGAACGUCGCCCAGUCGUGGGGAUAACGUAGCGAAAGCUACGCUAAUACCGCAUACGAUCUAUGGAUGAAAGCGGGGGAUCGCAAGACCUCGCGCGAUUGGAGCGGCCGAUAUCAGAUUAGGUAGUUGGUGAGGUAAAGGCUCACCAAGCCGACGAUCUGUAGCUGGUCUGAGAGGACGACCAGCCACACUGGGACUGAGACACGGCCCAGACUCCUACGGGAGGCAGCAGUGGGGAAUUUUGGACAAUGGGCGCAAGCCUGAUCCAGCAAUGCCGCGUGCAGGAUGAAGGCCUUCGGGUUGUAAACUGCUUUUGUACGGAACGAAACGGUGAGCUCUAAUACAGUUUGCUAAUGACGGUACCGUAAGAAUAAGCACCGGCUAACUACGUG
RNAcentral lists this ribosomal RNA (471 nucleotides) under uncultured bacterium. RNAcentral's name for it is "bacterial SSU rRNA". It matches the Rfam family "Bacterial small subunit ribosomal RNA", at positions 46 to 507 of the family's 1533-position model. The record is from RNAcentral.